This 253-nucleotide ribosomal RNA is filed under the name uncultured bacterium. RNAcentral describes it as "partial 16S ribosomal RNA". It matches the Rfam family "Bacterial small subunit ribosomal RNA", at positions 524 to 776 of the family's 1533-position model. The record is from RNAcentral.
UACGUAGGGCGCGAGCGUUGUCCGGAAUUAUUGGGCGUAAAGAGCUCGUAGGCGGCCGGUUGCGUCUGCUGUGAAAUCCCGGGGCUUAACCCCGGGCGUGCAGUGGAUACGGGCCGGCUGGAGGCAGGCAGGGGAGAAUGGAAUUCCCGGUGUAGCGGUGAAAUGCGCAGAUAUCGGGAGGAACACCGGUGGCGAAGGCGGUUCUCUGGGCCGAUACUGACGCUGAGACGCGAAAGCUAGGGGAGCGAACAGG